Molecule: unclassified non-coding RNA, 117 nt
Organism: Pongo abelii (Sumatran orangutan)
Lineage: Eukaryota; Metazoa; Chordata; Mammalia; Primates; Hominidae
Rfam family: Metazoan signal recognition particle RNA
About the family: The signal recognition particle (SRP) is a universally conserved ribonucleoprotein. It is involved in the co-translational targeting of proteins to membranes.
Source: Ensembl
GCUGGGCGCGGUGGCUCACGCCUGUAAUCCCAGCACUUUGGGAGGCCGAGGUGGGUGGAUCACCUGAGGUCAGGAGUUCAAGACCAGCCUGGCCAACAUGGUGAAACCCCAUCUCUA